RNAcentral lists this ribosomal RNA (253 nucleotides) under uncultured bacterium. RNAcentral's name for it is "partial 16S ribosomal RNA". It matches the Rfam family "Bacterial small subunit ribosomal RNA", at positions 524 to 776 of the family's 1533-position model. The record is from RNAcentral.
UACGUAGGGUGCGAGCGUUGUCCGGAAUUAUUGGGCGUAAAGAGCUUGUAGGCGGUCUGUCGCGUCUGCCGUGAAAUUUCGGGGCUCAACCCCGAACUUGCGGUGGGUACGGGCAGACUAGAGUGUGGUAGGGGAGACUGGAAUUCCUGGUGUAGCGGUGAAAUGCGCAGAUAUCAGGAGGAACACCGAUGGCGAAGGCAGGUCUCUGGGCCACUACUGACGCUGAGAAGCGAAAGCAUGGGGAGCGAACAGG